UACGAAGGGGGCUAGCGUUGCUCGGAAUCACUGGGCGUAAAGCGCACGUAGGCGGACUCUUAAGUCGGUGGUGAAAUCCUGGAGCUCAACUCCAGAACUGCCUCCGAUACUGCGAGUCUCCGAGUCCGGAAGAGGUGAGUGGAACUGCGAGUGUAGAGGUGAAAUUCGUAGAUAUUCGCAAGAACACCAGUGGCGAAGGCGGCUCACUGGCCCGGUACUGACGCUGAGGUGCGAAAGCGUGGGGAGCAAACAGG
Molecule: ribosomal RNA, 254 nt
Filed under: uncultured bacterium
Lineage: Bacteria
Description: partial 16S ribosomal RNA
Rfam family: Bacterial small subunit ribosomal RNA
Source: RNAcentral